This 112-nucleotide ribosomal RNA is filed under the name Flavobacteriales bacterium. The record is from RNAcentral. Lineage: Bacteria; Pseudomonadati; Bacteroidota; Flavobacteriia; Flavobacteriales.
UAUGGUGACUAUAACGCUAGGGUCCACCUCUUCCCAUUUCGAACAGAGAAGUUAAGCCUAGUUGUGCCGAUGGUACUAGAGUGAUAUCUGGAAGAGUAGGUAGUUGCCGCCC